RNAcentral lists this ribosomal RNA (500 nucleotides) under uncultured bacterium. Its description in RNAcentral is "partial 16S ribosomal RNA". It matches the Rfam family "Bacterial small subunit ribosomal RNA", at positions 30 to 523 of the family's 1533-position model. The record is from RNAcentral.
AUUGUACGCUGGCGGCAUGCCUUACACAUGCAAGUCGAACGGCAGCACGGGAGCAAUCCUGGUGGCGAGUGGCGAACGGGUGAGUAAAGUAUCGGAACGUGCCCAGUCGUGGGGGAUAACGUAGCGAAAGUUACGCUAAUACCGCAUACGAUCUAUGGAUGAAAGCGGGGGAUCGCAAGACCUCGCGCGACUGGAGCGGCCGAUAUCAGAUUAGGUAGUUGGUGGGAUAAAGGCUCACCAAGCCGACGAUCUGUAGCUGGUCUGAGAGGACGACCAGCCACAGUGGGACUGAGACACGGCCCAGACUCCUACGGGAGGCAGCAGUGGGGAAUUUUGGACAAUGGGCGCAAGCCUGAUCCAGCCAUGCCGCGUGCAGGAUGAAGGCCUUCGGGUUGUAAACUGCUUUUGUACGGAACGAAAAGGUUUGACUUAAUACGUUGGACUCAUGACGGUACCGUAAGAAUAAGCACCGGCUAACUACGUGCCAGCAGCCGCAGUAA